UGAUGCAGCAACGCCGCGUGAGGGAUGACGGCCUUCGGGUUGUAAACCUCUUUUAGUAGGGAAGAAGCGAAAGUGACGGUACCUGCAGAAAAAGCACCGGCUAACUACGUGCCAGCAGCCGCGGUAAUACGUAGGGUGCAAGCGUUGUCCGGAAUUAUUGGGCGUAAAGAGCUCGUAGGCGGUUUGUCGCGUCUGCUGUGAAAUCCCGAGGCUCAACCUCGGGCUUGCAGUGGGUACGGGCAGACUAGAGUGCGGUAGGGGAGAUUGGAAUUCCUGGUGUAGCGGUGGAAUGCGCAGAUAUCAGGAGGAACACCGAUGGCGAAGGCAGAUCUCUGGGCCGUAACUGACGCUGAGGAGCGAAAGCGUGGGGAGCGAACAGGAUUAGAUACCCUGGUAGUCCACGCCGUAAACGUUGGGCGCUAGAUGUAGGGACCUUUCCACGGUUUCUGUGUCGUAGCUAACGCAUUAAGCGCCCCGCCUGGGGAGUACGGCCGCAAGGCUAAAACUCAAAGGAAUUGACGGGGGCCCGCACAAGCGGCGGAGCAUGCGGAUUAAUUCGAUGCAACGCGAAGAACCUUACCAAGGCUUGACAUACACCGGAAACGGCCAGAGAUGGUCGCCCCCUUGUGGUCGGUGUACAGGUGGUGCAUGGUUGUCGUCAGCUCGUGUCGUGAGAUGUUGGGUUAAGUCCCGCAACGAGCGCAACCCUCGUUCUAUGUUGCCAGCGCGUUAUGGCGGGGACUCAUAGGAGACUGCCGGGGUCAACUCGGAGGAAGGUGGGGAUGACGUCAAAUCAUCAUGCCCCUUAUGUCUUGGGCUUCACGCAUGCUACAAUGGCCGGUACAAAGGGCUGCGAUACCGUAAGGUGGAGCGAAUCCCAAAAAGCCGGUCUCAGUUCGGAUUGAGGUCUGCAACUCGACCUCAUGAAGUCGGAGUCGCUAGUAAUCGCAGAUCAGCAACGCUGCGGUGAAUACGUUCCCGGGCCUUGUACACACCGCCCGUCAAGUCAUGAAAGUCGGUAACACCCGAAGCCGG
This 1035-nucleotide ribosomal RNA is filed under the name Curtobacterium sp. FPBBIK4C. RNAcentral's name for it is "bacterial SSU rRNA". It matches the Rfam family "Bacterial small subunit ribosomal RNA", at positions 384 to 1430 of the family's 1533-position model. Lineage: Bacteria; Bacillati; Actinomycetota; Actinomycetes; Micrococcales; Microbacteriaceae. The record is from RNAcentral.